GGCCUCAGACCCCGCCCACCUCGGCCCGCCCACCCAAGACCCCGCCCACCCCGGGCCCUCGGCCGCCUCAGGGAAUCCCCGCGCGCAGUGUUCAAUUGGUGUGGGCUGAAUUGUCACUGAAAAAUAGGAACUCAGCUACAAAAAA
Non-coding RNA from Microcebus murinus (gray mouse lemur), 145 nucleotides. NCBI's taxonomy places the organism in Eukaryota, Metazoa, Chordata, Mammalia, Primates, Cheirogaleidae. The record is from RefSeq and is a predicted model, not a curated record.